GCCGGCAUAGCUCAGCGGUAGAGCAAUCGCUUCGUAAGCGAUGGGUCGGGGGUUCAAAUCCCUCUGCCGGCACCA
Molecule: transfer RNA, 75 nt
Filed under: Halovulum marinum
Lineage: Bacteria; Pseudomonadati; Pseudomonadota; Alphaproteobacteria; Rhodobacterales; Paracoccaceae
Description: Rhodobacteraceae bacterium 2CG4 tRNA-Thr
Rfam family: tRNA
About the family: Transfer RNA (tRNA) molecules are approximately 80 nucleotides in length.
Source: RNAcentral